This 50-nucleotide transfer RNA is filed under the name Lathyrus fulvus. RNAcentral describes it as "Pisum fulvum partial transfer RNA-His". It matches the Rfam family "tRNA", at positions 1 to 47 of the family's 71-position model. From Rfam's summary of the family: Transfer RNA (tRNA) molecules are approximately 80 nucleotides in length. The record is from RNAcentral. Lineage: Eukaryota; Viridiplantae; Streptophyta; Magnoliopsida; Fabales; Fabaceae.
GCGGAUGUAGCCAAGUGGAUCAAGGCAGUGGAUUGUGAAUCCACCAUGCG